This 5905-nucleotide long non-coding RNA is filed under the name Sus scrofa (pig). Its description in RNAcentral is "lncRNA (ENSSSCG00005008219.1)". Lineage: Eukaryota; Metazoa; Chordata; Mammalia; Artiodactyla; Suidae. The record is from RNAcentral.
GGGUCCAAUCAGAGCUGCUGCCACCAGCCUACACCACAGGCACGGCAACACGGGAUCCGAGCCUUGUCUGUGACCUACACCACAGCUCACAGCAACGCCGGGUCCCUGGCCCACUGAGCGAGCGAGGCCAGGCCUUGAACCUGCACCCUCCUGGUUUCUGCUGAGCCAGGAUGGGAACUCCCAUUUCCCUUUCUUUUGUGGAAGGGUAGCAAGUCGUGCACAGUUCUGCAUCCGGAUCUCCCCCCCUCACCAAGAGCCGCAGAGAAUGGCCCUUACGUCGGACACGGAGCAACGGUCACGGAGGAGAGAACUCUAGGAAAGCGGAUUCUGCAGCCAAAAGCCACAGUGGAAUGGCUGUGAGCACCGGUGUCCCCUCCCUAGGCCGUGGCUGCCGAAUCCUUCAAUCGGACAUGGAUGACUGGCAGCACUGCACUCGCGGGAUCCCCCCGCACUCAGGACCAGGGCGGCCGUUGGCAGAUGCCUGCCACUCGUCAGCUUGUCACCUCCCCUCUCUCCUAGCCGUGGAAGCACGCACCUGACCCUGAGGCCGUUUCCAGCCUCUGGUUCCGACUCUGCACACACAGGGACCGACCUGGGAUGGACUCUGCCCAACUGCCCCCGAGACCUUCUUCACCUGGUGCGUCCCCCCCACGGUCACCACCUUCGAGGGACCACUUCUCCGCAUACUCGUCAGGGAACCUGCAGUUUCAGGACAACGUGGUGCAGGGCACCUCUGAUGCUCCAGCACAAGCAGAAUAUUUUUCGUAAGGGAAAACUUUUUUUUUUUAAGGGAAACGGCGCUUGUAUAUUUUUGGAUGCACUUACUAAGAAAAUACUACAUAAUGACUAAACAAUUUGUACUGAGGAAUUCUGUUCCAGGACCAAGUUCAAUUUAUACAAGACAAACAAUCAUCGACCCAGCCUUAACCUCCCACCCCAGAAAGGCGGAACUCAGCCUCUGAAAGCACAAGCCCCUCAGGGAGCAAAGGCUUCUUUUCCCAGAUGAAAUUUCAUGAAUAAGAGAACACAAAAAAUAGGCAGUGCCGACUCGCCUGGGGCUGUUAGCAUCUAAAGGGACUUAGAUGCCGCCUGGGGGACGGGAGGGAAGGGCACUGAGCACCCAUGACUUGGCUUUUGCUGCUGGGCGGUGCCACAUGGGCUGCUGGCACCUCUGACCUACAGACCCCACCCGAGCAGGACACUGACCCUCUACAGGGAGCAGCGGACACGGGCACUUGACAUCAAUCUCAGGCCACAGCAAGGGGAAACCUUCUCACACUGUCGUCUAUGGACAAUGACGCUCUUGCUUCCAGAAGCUGGCGGGACACGUCUUUGCACGUGGAAAAUGAGUGCCCUGGCCAGUUGCGGGGACAGGCGUUUUGUUUCAAUGACCCCAUUAGGCUGAGACGCAGCACCUCCCGCCGAGAGCCUGGAUAAGACUCUCCCCGGCGCUGUCCCUAAAAGCCCACCUCUUCUGCCCCCUGCUUUCUCCUGUGUUUCUCGAGAUGUCAGCAGGUUGGAACAGGAGCUAUGUGCGUCCCUCGCCCGUGUGGCUGCCUGGCUGAGCCCCUGCUGGGUCCCUGUCUUCCCGGAGAAGCUGGCGGCCAGGCCUCUGGCUCCUCCAGGCUCUGCACCCACCUGGCCCUCUGCCUCCAGGACCUUCUUGGCCUCCCGUUCUCCACACAGGCCUCUAUGCCCUCGGCUCUCGAGAAUCCACGGGAGGGACAAUGAACAGCCAGGCACUCAUGUUAGAAAAGGCCGCCCUCCCCAGAGGCCUACACACGGGGCCUGCUACUCGGUCAGUGCAGCCGUCGAGAGUGGCAAGCGGUCCCCAGAGCUGUGCUUCUGGGGGCUGGUGCGUCCCGGCUGGGUGCCCCCACGAGGUGGGUGGAGGGCUGCAAAAGCAGGUGGAUGACACCUGCCCGACGUGGACAAACCUCGAGGGCAUCAGAGGGCCAAGCGCUAUAAGCAGACACAGAAGGACAAACAGCGCAUGAGCCGCGUCCACGGGCAAAGCCAUCGAGACAGAACACGGAGCAGAGGGGACUCAGGCCGGGGAGGGGUCAGGGUCAGCGGACAGAGGCUCAGCUUGGGACGCGGAGAAAGGUGCAGACAGAACGUGCUGAUGGUUCCCAGCAACGUGAGUGGGUACAAGGCCACUGAGCUGUAUGCCUGAAGAUGGUUAAGGCAGGGCACUCCCCGGAGGCUCGGGGGGUUAAGGAGCCAGUUGCCACUGCAGCGGCUUGGGUCACUGCUGUGGCCUGGGUUCGAUCCCUGGCCCAGGAACUUCUGUGUGCCUUGGGUGUGGCCAAAAAAGCACAAGACGGCGUAUUUGAUGGUAUGUGUAUUUUUCCACAAGAGAGAGAGCGCGAGCGAGUGAGCAAGCUCGAGGACAGGAAUGACAAGCAGGCCGAGCACCCCGUCCUCCUAGACACCAGCACAGCGGCUCAGUGGUCUGGCGACAGCAGAGGACGCGCCCGGGUAAUUACAAGUUUUUCCCAGAGUGUCCCGUUCUGCCCGACACACUGCCCAGUAAUCGUCCCAAUUCGGGCGACAGUAGCCAACGACUCCUGCAAGUCACUGUGCAGACGUUCUGCUUGGCGGUGCUGUGGGCACCGAUCCGUCCCUGGAGCCCCCGCGCUAAGGGCCCCCAGUCCUGCAGAAGCGCCGUGGCCGUGACCAUCCUGGGUGUGGCCUCAUGGGCGCCCCCACCCCCGCCCCGCGGGCUUUCUCCAGGCUGGGGUCCCGCCGCAGCUCCUCACGGUGCCCCGGGCUCGGCGGCAGCACCCGGAAAGCGCGCCUGUGCUCGGACCCCAGCCCUGCCUUCUGACCCUGCAGGGAACCACUGAACCAUUUCACAUUCAUUCGAUGGGCCGCUUCAGGUCUACACUGUGAAACCUUGAUUUCGAUGGGGGAACGAAAGGUCUCUCCUUCCCAGUCAAAACCGGCAAGAACGGACCUCGGUUUCAAUCUCAGAUUCUCGGGCAGGAACGCCUGUGCUUUUCCCACCUUUUCAACCUUUUCAAGUGCUCUGCCCAGUGAUGUCAAAUCAGAAAAAAGGAAAGAAACCAGUAGGAAAAGCACACUAAGAACACGGCUAAACCCAUGCGACUAAGUCACGAGAAAACGGGAAUGGGCCGCACUUCCCGCGAGAGGAACGCUCAGGUUACACAAGAGGAUAAAACUGUUCGCAGGAAAUAUACUUAAAGCAGGGACGGCUGCAAACAAAGAAGCACAAAGAUACGCCAGGCAGAUAAAAGCUGGACAGAAACGGCAACAGUGAUACCCAGCAUCACAGGAGGUGAACUUCCAGGUCAAAGGGAUCAAGUGAAACACAAGGAAAAAUCUACAGGAGCCAGGAACCCUUAGGUCUGGUAUCAAAAGAUCCAAAGUUAAAAAGCCUUAGAAAUCAGCAAUUCCCGUCGUCGUGGCUCAGUGGUUAACGAAUCUGACUAGGAACCAUGAGGCAGCGGGUUUGAUCUCUGGCCUCUCUCAGUGGGUUAAGGAUCCAGCAUUGCUGUGGCUGUGGUGUAGGUCGCCAGCCUCAAUUCUGAUUAGACCCCCCCAGCCUUCGAACCUGCACAUGCCGCAGGUGCAGCCCUAAAAAGACAAAAAGACAAAAAAAAACAAAAACAAAAAAGCCCCUGGAAAUCAAAGCUGUUGACAAAAACUACAAUCAGAGUGAGAGACUUCGACAAAUCGCCUGGCCCCACAGUGAGGCCACUGUCCAGCCCCUGGAUGCUUAGGGACAUGGAUGGGCUCUGAGCACCCUGACCGGCUCCCUUGGGAUCAGGAGGCAGGACCACCCCACAGAGGACUUUUAUCAAGAAAGAAGAGCGUUCCAUCCCGAGGAAAGUUCAAGCUUCGCUUCUAAAGAAGAUGAAAAUUGAAACUUUUAAGUAAGACGUUUCCAGCUUCUACCUGACAAGAUUUCAGAAAACUUGGGUCUCAUUCGGCAGGAGCUUCUGUCUUGGAUGGACCUGUCCUGUAUCCCAGCAUUUAACAUUCCUUUUGGCUAAGAAUUAAUUCUGCCCAACUGGUCUGGAGAGGCGGUCCCAUCCCUACUGCAUGUGUGACCAUGUACGUACGACACAGGUGCUUGCCAACAUCUUAAAACCAGGUCCUACUAAGACACAACUUCAUCUGUGCCUAAACCAAGCGACAAGCCAGAUGUCCCUCAUUAUGAACAGAGCACAGAAAACAAUGUGCUUCGUAUUAACCUACAGCCAGGAAAUCAGAUGCCGAAGUGAUAAACACCAUCCACCCACCGGGGCGGGCUGGAAUUCUGCCCCCGGAAAGUAAGAAUGCUCUCCUGCUGGGAAAGCUGUUACACAACACAACACACUUAUGUUAAUCACACAGACGGGCUAAAGGCGGAAAACACCUGAUGUAUUUAUUGCUCCACAAAAGCCAAACAAGGAAUGCGAUGCAAGUGUUAUCUCUUCCUGGAUGAAAGAAAGAAAGGCCUCUCAGGAAGCUGAGAACUAAGUUGCCUUGCGAGUGUUUACCAGGAAACAAAGAAGAAAUCGCAUUCAAAGGCCGCACGCCACUCCCCGCAGCCACCACCGACACAUCAUUCAACAUUUUCUGGACUUUCACGUAGGAAGAAAACAAAACAAAAAAAGCCCAGGAGGUAUAAACGCUGGAACGAAGGGGGAAAGUCACCAUUAUUUGCGACAGUCGGCCUCAAAAACUAGAGAAUCGACAAGUGCAACCACAUAAUGAAAAACGACCACGUGUGACCUCUGGGGUCAGCUGCAGGGCCAGCAGGUGUUCAGGCGCCCUCCCCACAGUCCCGCCCUCGGUAAGGGUCACCCGGUCACCUCCUCAUUUUUCUGCACGGCAGCGGUGGUGGCAGAGAACCAGACCAACAGACCAGCUGAAGAGGCUCGGAAGUGCAGGUGCUGAACCCCCAUCUCCACGCGGGUUUACCAAGGGGUUUAUCAGAGAUGGUUAAAUAAAUGAUGCAAAGGCACCAGGCUGCGUAUUUAGAAAAAAGGUUACCAUUCUAUUUAGUGAAAUAAACACAAACUGCAAAGGAAGAAAGGAUUUAAAUGUUAAAAAAAAAAAAAAAGAUCAUUUGGAACCUCUGAGGCAGCUGAAGACUGAUGGGUAAAGAAGGCAGAUGGACACAUGCACUUAAUUUCGUGCCCUCUUGAAGCCCCACUAAAACCACCCGGAAGAGAUUUCGCUUUUCCCCCCAAAGAUAUUAACUAGCGAGGAAAAAGGAACCAGGAAAGGAAACCAAAUUCUGGCAUCUACAAAACAGAUGGACCAGACACAAGAGACCUAAGAAAACGGAACCCCAAGACAGCCUGGAAAGAGCCAAGGUCCCACCUGAUUGGAGCACAGAACCUCCUCAAGGUCUGGUAAGUGGCUUGAGGCACUUUGGAGGCGGAGGUGGGGACAGAGGUGGCUAAGACCAGGACGCAGGGCAGGAAGCCCGGUACAGCGCUGAGGGGCACAGGUGUCUGGCCUCUCUGCCCAGCCUGGGGCGGCCCCCCACUCAGCCGAAGUCUGCAGCACCAUGUGGGGUCCCUGGACGGGGGGUACUGAACACAGCUAUUCUCCAUUCUGGACUUACAAAUAAAUUCCCAGGAAACUCAAAACAGAAGCCAGCUUCCUUUUAUUAAGAGGGAAUUUAUCGUGAGUUCUCAUUGCGGCUCAGUGGUUAAUGAACCCGACUAGCAUCCAUGAGGACCCAGGUUCGAUCCCUGGCCUCACUCAGCAGGUUAAGGAUCUGGCCUUGCCGUGAGCUGCAGCAUAGGUUGUAGACAUGGCUCAGAUCCCAUGUUGCUGUGGCUGUGGUGUAGGCCAGCGGCUCCAGCUCCAAUUCGACCCCUAGCCCAGGAACCUCCAUAUGUUGUUGGUGCAACCCUAAAAAGACAAAAAAAAAAAAAAAAAA